RNAcentral lists this long non-coding RNA (582 nucleotides) under Anas platyrhynchos platyrhynchos (common mallard). RNAcentral describes it as "lncRNA (ENSAPLG00000016871.1)". Lineage: Eukaryota; Metazoa; Chordata; Aves; Anseriformes; Anatidae. The record is from RNAcentral.
UAUACAGAUUGUAUAAAGAUUUUUGACUUAAGACAUGUCUAUUUUGCUCUCUGCAGAGAAAGCUGAAUUCUUUGCUGAAGAAAGCUUUUUUCUCUGGAAGUUCUACUGAUGUGACUGAAUACUUCUAGGAAAUCACCAGAGACUGGUUAUUAAUAGAGCAUGGGGGAAAGCUGCUGGGUGUUUGAAACACCUCCAUCAAAUAUGAAGAAGUAAACUGACUUUAAAGCUGGACUUCUGCUGUCCCAGUUAGGUUGCUGCCAAAAAUGAGAUGACACCGCACUGUCUCCUCCCUACCUAGGUUUUGCAACAUGAAACACAGAAGCAUUUAAGCAUCAGAAUAAUGCUUGAAGAUCAUACUUCACAGGGCCACAAGCAUAUUCUGUGGGACCUAUCUGUCCAGAAGGUUCACUGGAUCCCUCUACUACAAAAGAAAGAAUAUCAGUGUGAAUGCUGGAGUUGUCUCUCAAAAGUUGACAAGAGACUAUUUUUGGGAACAAGAAUCAUCUGAAGACGUCUCUUUGCUUACAGUAACCACUACAUCAUGUUAAUAGCACAUCAUUAGGUUAUAUAAUUUGUGUUUCA